ACAUAUUUGCAAUAAACCAGCAGCAUUACACAUCAUUACUAAUCCAAGAUUUAUAACAAACCAACGGCAUUAGAGCACAUCCUGUAAGAGCAUACAUAUUGUCAUGGCUUUUCAUGCCUUCAAUUAAAACACCUACACUUCUUGCCAAGUCACUUACUCCCAGCUAAUGCAAACACAGUUACAAGCAAACCAAAAUGCAUAAAAACACCAAACAGUGGCAUCCUAUCUCUCCAAAUGAUCCGCUUCCUCUGCAUCCUUGCAAGCAUCUUCACGAUAAGCAAAUCCGCAGGAAAAGAAGUCAACUGAGCAUGUACUCCCUCUGUCAACUAUCCGAACUAGAUUUUAUCCAUUGCCCUAGCCAUGUUCAAGAAACACUAAAUUAAGAAUAUUUCUACUCUAAAUACAGGAGGCAUCGGACAGAAAACAAAGGAUGAGCAAUAUCAUAUGAGCAGAAUAAAAAGGAGUUUGGACCAUAGCAUGGUUAACAAUAAAAUAUAGUGCUCUUACAAAAGCAAGAGUGCAACACGUCGCCCUGUUCCCCUUUCAAAUAUCAACACACUAAAAAAGGCAAUAAACACAAACAUGUAAUUUUGGACUACAGCAAAAUCAGUUGCAGAAAGUCAGGAAGAUUAUAUUGUUAAAGUAUUCCAUUUUCAGAUGUUAGAAUAGGAUAUUGCAAAAGCAAAAUAUAUGAAGAUCAAAUACUGAAGCAGCUACAAUGCCCGAAUUGGCCUUUUACAGAAGGUGAGAAGCACACACUAAAACAUUAACAGCCAAGAACAUCAUAUCUUUUCAAACUACCUAAAUGGCACGACAACAACACUUCCUUUUAAAUAGUUUGAGAAGACAUGCAUUUAAUGGCAGCCACAACAGUAUGCAUCUAGAUGCCCCUUUAACAUAACAUAAUUCUAGAUAUAGUGCAUGCACAAGAAGAGUACGCACUAGUACGACCGCUCUGAACGAGCUGCUGAUGAUGAAAAGGAGACCACGGCCAAAGGCUUUAAGAAACAUGGUAAAGGCAAUGACAGACUUGAUCUAUAAAGAAAUAGAACAAAAGCCAUAAAAAAUAGGAACUAGGUGAAUGGAUCCUUAAAAAGGGAACAAUGAUGUACAACGAGGCAACCGACCAGAAAGUAUCCAUACAUCAAUGUGUGGCACUACCAUCCCAAAUUCCCAAUGUUGGCGGAGACCUGCUUGACAAAGAAGUUUCAACAUGAUAAAUGCAUAAUCAUUUUAACAUGGAUUAAAUAUAAUUAGUUCCGUAUAAUAAGACAGAAAAUAUAUUUUGUUUUUUAUAUCUAAGCAUAAACUGAUAUGCCCAGUUAUCAUGGAUUGAUGCCUCAAAGAACUGUUGCAUUGUCACAUAUAGAAUGCAAACAAUAAAUAUAAGCAUAAACACGUAAAUUUGGACUGUAGCAAUCAGUAGCACAAACUCAACAGACAUGAGCCUAUCAAGUGGUUAAACAAUAAGAAUAGCAUGUCACCACAUUUGGAAUCUUUCAACAAGGUUGUUGUUAAAGCUUUCCACUGUCAGAUGCUACAACAGGAUAUUGCAGAAGCAAAAUGUAUGAAAAUCAAACAUCGAAGUAGCAACAAUGCCAGAUUUGGCAUUUUACAGCCAGUAAAAUGGACACACUAAAAUUGUUAAAACUACCUAAAUGUCAUGGCAACAAUACUUCCUUUUUAUUAGUUUGAGAAGACAUGGUGCUGCAAGUCUACAUUUAAUGGCAGCCACAAUAGUAUGCAUCUUGAUAACCCCUUAACAUGAAAUAAUUCUUGAUACAGUGCAUUCAGAAGAAGAGUACACACCAGUACGAACGCUCCGAACGAGCUGCUGAUGAUGAAAAGGAGACCACCAAAGGCUUUAAGAAACACGGUAAAGGCAAUGAAACACUUGAUCUGUAAACAAAGAGAACAAAAGCCAUCAAAACUAGGAACUAGGUGAAUGGAUCCUUAAACAAAAAACAAUGAUGUAGAACGGGGC
This 1984-nucleotide long non-coding RNA is filed under the name Triticum aestivum (bread wheat). RNAcentral's name for it is "long non-coding RNA (TAES_LNC005326)". The record is from RNAcentral. Lineage: Eukaryota; Viridiplantae; Streptophyta; Magnoliopsida; Poales; Poaceae.